UACGUAGGGACCAAGCGUUGUUCGGAUUUACUGGGCGUAAAGGGCGCGUAGGCGGCGCGGUAAGUCACUUGUGAAAUCUCCGGGCUUAACUCGGAACGGUCAAGUGAUACUGUCGGACUAGAGUACAGAAGGGGCAACUGGAAUUCUCGGUGUAGCGGUGAAAUGCGUAGAUAUCGAGAGGAACACCUGCGGCGAAGGCGGGUUGCUGGGCUGAUACUGACGCUGAGGCGCGAAAGCCAGGGGAGCGAACGGG
RNAcentral lists this ribosomal RNA (253 nucleotides) under uncultured bacterium. RNAcentral's name for it is "partial 16S ribosomal RNA". It matches the Rfam family "Bacterial small subunit ribosomal RNA", at positions 524 to 776 of the family's 1533-position model. The record is from RNAcentral.